This 246-nucleotide unclassified non-coding RNA is filed under the name uncultured fungus. RNAcentral describes it as "partial contains 5.8S ribosomal RNA, internal transcribed spacer 2, and large subunit ribosomal RNA". The record is from RNAcentral. Lineage: Eukaryota; Fungi.
AACGCACAUUGCGCCCGCCAGCAUUCUGGCGGGCAUGCCUGUUCGAGCGUCAUUGCAACCCCUCAGGCCCCGCCUGGCGUUGGAGGACUGCGCACCCGCAGCCUCCCAAAGCGAGCGGCGGCGGCGCCCCGAGACCGAACGCAGUAGUUACCUCUCGUUCUGGGCCCGGGACGUCGUCCUGCCGGAAAACCCCCAACUCUUUACGUGGUUGACCUCGAAUCAGGUAGGAAUACCCGCUGAACUUAA